This 496-nucleotide ribosomal RNA is filed under the name uncultured bacterium. RNAcentral's name for it is "partial 16S ribosomal RNA". It matches the Rfam family "Bacterial small subunit ribosomal RNA", at positions 28 to 506 of the family's 1533-position model. The record is from RNAcentral.
GAUGAACGCUGGCGGCGUGCCUAAUACAUGCAAGUCGAGCGAACGGACGAGAAGCUUGCUUCUCUGAUGUUAGCGGCGGACGGGUGAGUAACACGUGGAUAACCUACCUAUAAGACUGGGAUAACUUCGGGAAACCGGAGCUAAUACCGGAUAAUAUUUUGAACCGCAUGGUUCAAAAGUGAAAGACGGUCUUGCUGUCACUUAUAGAUGGAUCCGCGCUGCAUUAGCUAGUUGGUAAGGUAACGGCUUACCAAGGCAACGAUGCAUAGCCGACCUGAGAGGGUGAUCGGCCACACUGGAACUGAGCCACGGUCCAGACUCCUACGGGAGGCAGAGGUAGGGAAUCUUCCGCAAUGGGCGAAAGCCUGACGGAGCAACGCCGCGUGAGUGAUGAAGGUCUUCGGAUCGUAAAACUCUGUUAUUAGGGAAGAACAUAUGUGUAAGUAACUGUGCACAUCUUGACGGUACCGAAUCAGAAAACCACGGCUAACUACGU